GAAGUCAUAUCCAUGUGUUGUAUGCAAAAGGCGAUAAGAUACACAUACUUCACAUCAUUUUCGUAGAUUUCCAAAAGACAAAGAAAGGUGUCUGUUAUGGCUAAAUAUAUUGCAUAUCCCAAGCCUCCACGAAAAAAGCCACAUUCAGCUGAAUAGAAGCUUCCGCGUGUGCAGUCACCAUUUCUCUGCCUCUCAAUAUUGCAACACCUCAUCAGCUAAACUAUUAAGCACUGCUUGCCCUGACCAAAAUUUAGAAGGAAUUGGUUCAUUGGGAGAGGCUGGCCAGUCUGCAAUUGCUAAUGAGGACAAAUUAGAUGGUAUAGUAAUUUUAUUGCUUUUAUGUGACAUUAUAAAUAAAAUGAUGAUAUAAUUUGCACUAUAAUAGUAACUGAUAAAUGUUAUUGAUUUUGCAUAAUACAUCCACAGGUGUUUAAUAUUAAUUAGUCUCAAGUAUUGUAUCUGUUCAUUUGCUACCAAAUCCCCAAGUUCUGGUUAAAAUUUAGAAGAGGGAUCUGAGAGGCUCUGCCCCAACAUGUUUCUAGUCCUUAACACACAUAUUGGUGCCAAAUACUAAUUACAUAUUUUAUUUGUUUCAUUCAUGUCUGCAUAAUAUAAUGCAUACCAUUGUGUGCAAUUUUUCCUUUUGAUCAUGAUACAAAACUGUCCAUGUCUUUUUUC
Molecule: long non-coding RNA, 678 nt
Filed under: Penaeus japonicus
Lineage: Eukaryota; Metazoa; Arthropoda; Malacostraca; Decapoda; Penaeidae
Description: uncharacterized LOC122248614
Source: RNAcentral